AACUGAGAGGUAUAAAAACAUAUUUCACUCUUCGUAAAGAACUUUGUGAGGAAAUAUAACUCUGUGAUUGUAUAGACACUUUUCCUCACAAACACUUUGACAUUCACAAACAGUAGAUUGAGCUGCAGUUUGUAACCAUUUUAAGUUGCAUAAACUUCUCCUUGAUUUUCAAAUGUAGUGUACUACUGUCUACUAAAACUCCUUUUUGUUUCAGCUAAGUACUGUCACAUAUAUUAGUUUAUAAUAAUGUUUCUUAUUAUUUUUAAAGUGUUUUCCAUUCAAGGAAAAGAAGUAAAUUCCUAUGUCAGAUGGUUGAAGACUAGGUAUUAGCCAGAGAGGUCUAGAUGGUAAAAUCCAUCUUCCAGCCUCAAAUAAGCUCCGUGAACAUAGAGCAAUGCCAGCUCUUGAAGAAGAUGUCUCUUCCCGUUCUUGGCAGCCCGAAGAGAAUGGCAUGCAGCCUCUCCUGCUCCUUCUGCCGCCUCUCCUGUACCAACAGCUUCUCCACCCAAGCCUGGGGAGUCCUGCAUUACAGAAAGCACCUGCUGGAUCUGCUGUGCGGUGGGGUUGUCAUGGGGAGAACCCUCCCUGUCCUCUCUUGGUGCAGGCUCCACGCUAUCAGUGAGGCUCGCCUCACAGAGAUCUUCACGGAGAGGGAGGGGGGUGGGAAUCUGAGCACAGUGCAAGCCUCCCCUGCUCCUGACUGCCCACCCCACCUGGGGGCUCUACUCACCACCCUGCUUGUCAGCAACACCCCAGCUCCUGUGGGACUGGGGCUCCCAGAGCGGUACACAGGUACGGGUCUGGCUGCUGCUGCAGACUCUGAGCCUCUUGGCUCUUCAGCUCCACCUGCAGGAAGACCCUGGGCAUGAAGGCAUGUAAUAGGGUAGCGAGGGCACUGUGGGGCUCUGUGGCCUGCCCAGGCCCCUGGCCCCUUGCUCCAGGCCUAACAGACUGCCUCCCUUGCCUAGAGCCCCGUGCCUCCUUCCCCAGCCUCAAAUCUCACGUCCUUUUUCCCAGCAUUUAAACUGUAGGCCACAGACUGGUGGAAAAGCAGGGGGAGCCCACCACCAUCUGCUGAGUGUGCUACAUGCCUCAUGUUUCCACGUAUUACCUCAUUUAAUCCUCAGCACCUCUGCAAGGAAAAGGCCACCUUCCUUUUGAAGUUAAAGAAACAGAGACUUAGAGAUGCAAAGUGGUUGAAUUAUGACCAGUGGGACCGAGGUCCGAAUCCAGUUUGAAUCUAAGGAGUCUUUUCUGUUUUUGUGUUUUGUUUCGUUUUGAGACAGUGUCACUCUGUGUCCCAGGCUGAAGUGCAGUGGUGCGAUCUCAGCUCACUGCAACCUUCACCUCCUGGGCUCGAGUGAUUCUCGUGUCUCAGCCUCCAGAGUAGCUGGGAUUACAGGCAUGCACCACCAGGCCCAGCUAAUUAUUAUUAUUUUUUAAUUUUAGUAGAGAUGAGCUUUCGCCAUUUUGGCCAUGCUGGUCUCAAACUCCUGACCUCAAGUGAUUGUCCUGCCUCAGCCUCCCGAAGUGCUGGGAUUACAGGCGUGAGCCACCACACCCAACAUAAGGAGCCUCUUAUACCACUGUCUCUUCCUCUGUGAUUGGGGGCUCCAUGCCUCUAGCUGGGAUGAUGAUGUCCAGACCUGGGAGGAGCCCAGGGCUACCCGCCUCUAAAAGUCAGAGGGCAGGAAGCAAGAAACAGUCAUAGGACCGCCAUGGAGUGUGCUGGGGUCACCUGCCCCCAGGCUGCAGCUGCCUCUGGCCUGGCACCUCCCCUCCCCAGAGGCUGGUGCCCUCCUCCCAGCCCUUCUUGGAUGGGUCAGAGGUUACCAUCUCUUUCAGCUCACCCGGCUUCUUCUUUACUUUCUGCUCCACCAGCUGUAGGGUCUUGUUCUGGACAGAGAGAACCAAUCAGUGGCCACCCACUAAAACUGGAGACCCCAGAACUUGGUGUCUGCCUCCCAUGGCACCGGGAAGGGUGGAGGCAGGUUAGAAAAAUCAUCCCCUCUCUCCCACAGCCAUCAGAGCAGGGCUCUGGCUCACAGGUGCCUUUAGAAGUACCAUUUCAUGUGAAGGCUACAAUGCCCCAUUUUACAGGUGGGGAAACAAAGGCCUUGAGGGCUAGGGAAGAGGGCAGCCUCCCCAGGUGGGCAACGCACCAGCUCCUCCGAGGCGCUGGAUGGCCCGUCGCACUCCUCAUCGAGGGCUUCCCACCCCGGCUCUAGCAUCCUCUCCAGCUCCCGCGGCCUCUCCUGCCCUGGCGGCUCCUCCUGCUGACGCAGCCUCUCUUCCCACUGACGUAGCCUCUCUUCCUCUUCACGUAGCCUCGUUUCCCAGUCACAUGUCCUCUCCUCCCAUUCACAUAAGUUGUUGUCCAGUUCGCAGAUCUCCUCCUCUGACGUAUCCUCUUCUGAUGACGUAGACACUUCUCCAGUCUGGUUUUCAGGAGAGUCAAAUCUUGUUGUUUUCCACCUCGGCCUGGAGCCGUCUUCCCACGCUCUCCAGCUCCUUUCUUAGGUGGUUGGCCUCCUCCCGUAGCUGCUCCACCUCAGAGGGCCCUGCUGGGGUUCAGCCGAGAAAGGAAGCAGACAAUAAGGGCCUCUGGAUUCCCCCCCCCAAAAAAAAAUCCUCCCUUUGAUACACAGCUCCUCCUCUCAGGCUUCCCAAACUUGGCCUCACUGCUAAUGAUUCCUCGCACCCAGAUGGUAGCCAAUCUUCCAAGUCACUUUCAGAUAGAGAGCACUGUGGGCGGCUGACAACGGGCACUCCUCCCUCUACUGAUGGGGACACUGAGGCUCAUGGAGAUGACAAGACUUGCCGUCUCCUGGCACAGACCUCUUUCCCUCUGCCUAAAAGCCCUUCCAUCCACCUACCUCCCUGGGGCAUUCUAAGUCACCCCCACCUCUGAUGCCAGUCCUGCUCCCAGGUCAUGCCAGCCCUGUCUUACCCGUCUGGUGUUUUAACUUGAACAAGCUCCUCCCGAGCUUCUGUAAUGGAUGCUUCCCCUUCUUCGACGUGCGAGGAGCCUGCCCAAAGCACAGGGGGAAAGGGCCCUGGAGAGAGGGGCUGGUGAACCUCUAGAGACAGACUUUGAGAAAGGCCCACCCCCCUUCUGCCAGCUUGUGAUUAAAAAGCUGCAUUCAUUCAACAAACAUUUACGAGCACGUACAGGCCAGGUACAGUUCUUCAUAGCAGAGAUACAAGACAGCAAAGGACAGACAGGAGCCCUUGGCCCUGAGGUUUCCAUUCUAGGGGCCUUUAAAUCUCAGACUUUCAGAGCUAACGGAGACCUUUGAUACUCUCUACCUCCUCCAGAAACACGAGCCUAAGGAGGAGACUUGGCUUGUCCAGACUCAAAAGCAAAUUAGGGACUGAGGCAGGGCAGAAAUUCCGGCCCCUGACAACCAGUCAGGCUAGUGCUUCCCUGAGAGGUGACAACUCCAGGGCAUGUGUGGCAAGGACUAGAGCAGGGGUGUCUGGAGAAGAGACAGUCAGCAAAGAGGGCAGAGCGGAAGAGCCACGCUGCAUGUUCUGUGCUCUGGGGUCCCUCCAGGUGAGACCUGGGUACCCCAGCUCCCCAUUUGCCCUUGGCAUCAGGGGCCCCUAGCCCCUUUCUUCAGGGCCCCAAGGGGAAACUGGAGUCCAGGAUUGACAGGCUGGAAUCAGGGGACCCCACUGGACUCUUCCCAGUGAAUUGAUGUUUUCGCUGAGUUGGUCGAUUAUUGUGGAGCUUGAAUCCAGGGCUACCUCUAGUUUUUGGUACUGGCUCUGAGGUGCAUGCAGAGAGGAGGAGUUGGAAGAAGAUUGUGGGGAGGGGUAGAGAGAACAAUCAUUAGGGCUGGGGGGGGUGUGGGCUGUCUCAGCUGGCAGAGGGGCAACAAGCCCCUGCUGUGGGAGGAGGUUGGAGGGCUGGCCUGCAGGGUCACUGCACCUCGGCCCAGGGCCUCUUACCUCCAGAUCCUUCAGGGUAGAUGACGCCAGAUCCUUCAGGGUAGAUGACGCAGGGCCCUCUCUGUCCACACUUGUUGCUGACUGCAAGAGAUGAGAGUGCACAUGGAGAUGUUCUGUCCCCCCUCACUGUCUAAGCCCUCUGACUUCCUUUCUUCCCCAUCAACUGACAAAAGCUUCUUUUCUGCCUAUCUUGGACCUUUUGUCCUAUAACUCCUUUGUGCCAACUUCUCUCAUGGUUCUUAUCUCCCCACCAUCCCACCGUGGGGCCCUUUCAGUGACUCCUAAAGGGACGGCCUGAUGGCAAGUGGCUCUUCUCAUUGGCCUGGCUUCCCCUUGAGACUGGGGAUGAGGAAAAUCAAAGAGCAAUGACCAUUUCCUGGAUGUCCUGGGUGUUUGCAGCAGGCCAUGUACUAAGGAUGCACAUAAAAGCAACAAUAACGAAUCUCAUUUAAACUUCACAAAUGGAAGUCAAAAAAUACCACCUCUAUUAUACAGAUGUGAAAAGAGAGGCCCAAAGACCUCAAGCAACUUGCCCUAAAUCAUAUCCUAAUCAAUCCCUAAUCGAUCCUUAGCAGACGGAGAGGCAGGAUUCAAACCCAGGAUUCUUAACCAGUACCCAACAGUCCAUCCACAAUCUUAACAAUUACCCUCUACUGCCCGUUGGGCCUGCUGUCCCCAGGAGCCUGGCCAGCCAAGACUCACAUCGCCAGGUGAGUGGUAACCACAAGGAGUGGCUGUGUCAGGGCUACUGCCAUUGAUUUUCUUUCCUCCUGGAAUGCCAGGGCUCUUCCUCUGCCAAAAUUGUCUGAACUGUGGGAAAAAAGAGCAGUAACACUCGUGAGAACUAUCAGCCCCUAUAGCCACAUCCUCCUUUACAGUUUUGACAAAAUACUCUUAUGCACCAUCUGAUUUAAUGCCACCAACCACUGUACAAGAUGUUGUCACAAUCAUUUAGUGACUGAGAGGGAUUGAUAUCAUGGAUAGAAAAAACAAAAGAAAGACAAAGGCAAUACUGGAACUUAAACUCAGUCUUCUGACUCCAAGCUCUGGGGUUUUGCCUUGAAUCAGCAGCUGCCAGGGACCAAAACCAGGGGCAGAGGUAGAAAAGUAAGCAUUAAGCAGGCAGGAAUUGUAGGCAGUGUGGUUUAGAGUCAUACAUCCUCACACGUCUGUUGGUGUGAAGAAGUGCACCGGUACCUCUCACACUUUCAUAUCAAUGUGUCCUCAUGGCAAAAGGCAGCUUUUCUGUUAAAUCUGGGAAUUUAUCAGGAAGAUGACAACCCAAGCCUCAUUUCAGAGAGAAGUCUGGUAUGUGCUUGGAAACCUAUGUGUCUGUCAUCUCUAAGUACAUUAAUGUUUUUUCUCAAGAGAAUCAAGGGAAAAUGAUGCUUCAGAAAGAUGUCCCACAUUUAUCCUGUGGCACUCAAAGUACCCCAGGUUGAGAUGAUAUGAGGAAGAUUCAAGCUGUCAAGUUCAGUUUCCCAAGAUCUAUUCCACAGAAGACGGACAAAUCUCAUUUCAGAGACCACUGACUGAAGGGCAGUCUGGUCCCAGAAGCGUGGAGAACUCAGAAAAAAAUGUUAAAGUCUCUCUGGAAAGUAGAAGCCCGGGAGAAAACCAAACCAAACCCAUUCUCCCAUUGCCACCCAGAGAUACUGUCAACGUUUUGAGCUCACGGGCGAAGCGUAGGCUUUUCCCACUGUCAAUUAGACAUUGUUAAGGGAGUAAGGCAGCCUGAAACCUCUCGCUCCUAGGUCCCAUAGUCUCCACUCCCUUCCAGCUGGAAAUUUGUGCUGCAACCAGAGGAACCAGACCUGGGGUGAGAAAACUUAGGGGACUGGGUUGUAAGAUCAAAGGCCGGUCUUGCAGUAGUAAUGACAGUUCCUAGGGGGACUGUGACAUCACUACAUUCCACUCCUCCCAGGGGAGGGGACCACAUCAACGCGAUGCCCAAGUAGCCGCUCCACGAUGGGGUAGGGAAACACACGGUUUUGACCCAGGUCCUCGGAGACGCCAGCCCAAGAAGCCCAGGGAGGUCGAGCUUGGGGCAGCAAGAGGGGAGGGCAGAGUCUGCAGUAGGGAGCCCCAGGAGUCAACCGCCCAAAGUCACCCUGGGGUGAUUGGCAAGGGCAAGGACUGGGCUCCUUGCCGAAGGGGUGGGGCUGACUGACAAGACUUUGGUUGGGGGAGCCCAGAGGUGCUGGGGUUGUGGGGACCAGUCUGGUAUGCCUCAGGAGUGGUAUGGGCUCUGGCACCGGUCUUGUCAUCAGAGGGGAUCUGUGGCUGGGUUGGGGGCCAUGACCUGGUGCGUUUUUACCUUUUUCUUGGCUGCGGCCAAUUUCCCCUGUUGUGUUUUUUUCUGACAUCGCGGGGUGGGGAGGGAGGCAGGGUUGGGGCCACGUCAGCAAAAUCCCAGUGAGCACUGCUGAAUGCCUCCAGUCAACCACCAGGCAGCUGUGCGACUGAGCCACAGGAGGCGUAACCAGGGCCCCACUAGAACGCAGAACAGGGGGCGUGGCCUGAAUACUCCAAGCCCAUUGGUCAGUGAGAAAGAUGGAAAGGAGGCGUGGCCAGGCAGCAGCCUGUCCAGAGGGACCUGUGACAUCAUAAGGAAAGCGGCCCAUGCAACCACUGUCCCCGCCCACUCAGAGAAAGGGGAGGGGCCGCCCACUCUGGGAGAGGGGAGGGGCUGGAUUUUGCUUUAAAAGCUUUGAAACUGUAAAAAAUAAACUUGAAAAAGCA
Long non-coding RNA from Symphalangus syndactylus (siamang), 6696 nucleotides. RefSeq lists it as uncharacterized. The record is from RefSeq and is a predicted model, not a curated record. NCBI's taxonomy places the organism in Eukaryota, Metazoa, Chordata, Mammalia, Primates, Hylobatidae.